RNAcentral lists this long non-coding RNA (908 nucleotides) under Numida meleagris (helmeted guineafowl). Its description in RNAcentral is "lncRNA (ENSNMEG00000019295.1)". Lineage: Eukaryota; Metazoa; Chordata; Aves; Galliformes; Numididae. The record is from RNAcentral.
CCCAACAUUCCCUCCCCAUUAUGACUUUUUAAUUGUUGUUACCGCAUGAGCGGAAAGCCCUAAAUCUCCCCUCUGCCUGUUCCCUUCUCCCGAGCUUUCCAGAUGGGACAGGGAUCCCCAGCAAACCCCAGAGCGGGGCAGAACAGUGACCCUCUGCCUUCAUUCCUGAGACCAGACAGGACACAUCUGUCGAUCCUGAGAGCACAUUGGGGAACGAGGGUAGGUCUGCUGUGCCAUAACCCUGACCUGUGUUUGUGGAGUCAAGAAUACUGACAUAUCCUUGAAGCACAAGCUCAGUAGGUGUAUAAUUCUAUACCUGCAAAUACAGCACUUGCACAGACAUGUCCGAAGUAGGAGAAGAAGGUGUGUGCUCACUGCAUCCACAUGCAGGGUUCUGUUCAGAGCGCAGGAAAAGCACCCAGCGAUUUUCAGCACUUAUUUCCAGAAGGACACCCGGAGGCGAAGCCCUGCAGAUGCCGCACUCCUCCUGGUCUACGUUUUUCUCCCGUACGUCCUGGAGCUGGGGACUGCCGCGGCCGUCCCUCUGAGCACCUCCGUCCUGGUCCGCAGCCCGGCACUGGGUGUGGUGCCGGUAGGUGACAGCCUCUCAGGGCCACCCCCUCCCGUUUCCUCCCCACCUCCGAGGAAUCCUGAGCCUUCGCUCAACGCAUAAAGCGAGGGGAAGGGAGGAGCGGGGUCUCGGGCUCCGAGAGGACGAAGAGCUGCAUUUGGGGCGGAAAGGGUGCGAAUAAGUGCGGCAAGAGACAUCUCCAGCACGGGGUGCCGGCCCCAUGGAGCGGAGCGGGCCUCCAAAGUAAAUGUAAUUCCCCCACCUGCGUUUGAUGUCUCCCCUUACUCUCCCCCCACCAGCACUGCCUCGAUACGCCGUAAAAUAAAACCGAAACGAA